Long non-coding RNA from Anser cygnoides (Swan goose), 1647 nucleotides. The record is from Ensembl. NCBI's taxonomy places the organism in Eukaryota, Metazoa, Chordata, Aves, Anseriformes, Anatidae.
CUUGGCUCUGGCCAGCGGCAAGUCCCUUUUGGAUCUGUCUGGAGCUGGCUCUGAUCUGACAUGGGGCAGCUGCUGGGCUCUGCUCACAGAGGCCACCCCUGCAGUCCCCUGCUGUCAAACCCUUGCCGUGUAAACCCAAUACAACUGGCAUUUCUACAUCAGGAAGACAUUUUUGAAAAACAGAAAUACUGUAUUCUUGACUGACUACAAAGCCCUUCUGCUGGUUCAUGGAAACUCUGGGUUGGACCUUCAUAUGAAAUUUCUUUUUAGUGAGAGCUACAUAUGUUUUGUAUUCUUCAGGGCACUAGGAAUGGUGCUGGUAUUCCACACUUACGCUUAAUGAAACAGAAGUUCUCUAUGUCCAUCCUGUCCUUUGAGCAUCUUUCCCUCCAGUGAAAAAGAGGAAGAAUGACAAAAACAUUUAUGAAUCUUGUGAAAGGAGCCACAGACUUUGGUCCACAUGAUGCCUGGGAUGGUGGAAAAUACUUCUACAUAUCUAUGCAACGUGAUUUGUUCAGUGUCACAGAGAAAGUUUGUGUCAGAGCCUGAAAUGGAACAGGUGCCUGUUGAAUACUGGGCUGGUACUUUAGACACAGCACCAUCCUUUUGCUAAAUCACAAAAACCAGCCACAUCUAAGGCCAGCUGAGUCUCCACAGGGGAAAGACGUGUGUCAUGACAGCAGCUAGAAAAGAGAGGCCAUCAGGAUCCAGAGUCUUCCUGCUAUGGCCUCUAUCUCUUGCUUCAUCAUUUUUAUCACAGUCUUUUUAAAGUAAGUAUAGACCAUAUUUUGCUUUCUAGAGAGGAGAUGAAACAAAAUCCACCAUGUUCAAUAUCAGUUAAGUUCUGUUACAUUUUCCUCAUCCCUUUAAUGAAACAGAUUUUGAGAUGCAGGCUGAACCUCAGAUAGGAUGCUGUUUCCUUUACUCCUUGAAUCCUUUCCAAACAAAUUCAGAGUUGAGUGACAUGGCUUGAAUUCAUCUCAGUUAUUAUUCAGAGAAUAGAAUGAAGAGUAACAGCAUGUAUCAAUUAAUUUUUCCUCAUCCACAUCCCAGCACUGUUUUUCCACAGUGAAAGCAUCGAAUACAGUCUCUGCUUUCACAAAGCUGCUCUAUCAUGAUAGUUUUCAACAACUGCUUCCUAUUGAGUUUAGCCCCAGUUUCUCUACUGAAUACCUUUACCAGUCAGGCAUGGCUAGUGCAGCUGACUGAGAAUUAGACAGGAAAGUAAAUUCUAAUGAACUGCUAAAUCAUUAUUUUUAAUACCUGUGGAAAGCUCCUGGACCACUCCAUUUUACUUAUAUCAAUAUUUGUAUUUUUCUUUUUAAUAUAGGUCAGGAAUGAAAAGAUUCAGGAAAAGAAAGAGAAGUGUUUGCUAUCAGUUUUUACUACAUACAAGUCAGCUAGACUUGACAACUGCUUUUUGAUGUCUUGGCCUAAGAGCACCUUGAACCACUGGAAACAAUCCUGGACAGCAGGAAGAAAGGAAAUAAGGUGAUCAAAAAAGUACAGAACAAAGUUGAUCAUUACUGUAAUUUUUACUUUGAAUCACAGUGAAACAAACAGCAUGCAAAAGCCCUAUAAGCACUUCGCCUCUGUAGGAAAAAAAAUAUAUAAUAAUAAUAAUAAAAAAAUGUUGUUCACAGGACA